Molecule: transfer RNA, 86 nt
Filed under: Mesorhizobium sp. WSM3876
Lineage: Bacteria; Pseudomonadati; Pseudomonadota; Alphaproteobacteria; Hyphomicrobiales; Phyllobacteriaceae
Also listed under: 6 other names
Description: tRNA-Leu
Rfam family: tRNA
About the family: Transfer RNA (tRNA) molecules are approximately 80 nucleotides in length. Their secondary structure includes four short double-helical elements and three loops (D, anti-codon, and T loops).
Source: RNAcentral
GCGGACGUGGCGGAAGUGGUAGACGCAAGGGACUUAAAAUCCCUCGAUCUCCGAUCGUACGGGUUCGAUUCCCGUCGUCCGCACCA